CUCGGCGCCGGCGAUGGAGUUCGCCGUCAACCGUCCCCUGCCAUUCAGUGGACUGAUGACUCCUGGAACCCU
This 72-nucleotide non-coding RNA is filed under the name Gemmatimonadota bacterium. Its description in RNAcentral is "Gemmatimonadetes bacterium Fluoride sequence". It matches the Rfam family "Fluoride riboswitch aptamer (crcB RNA motif)". The record is from RNAcentral. Lineage: Bacteria; Pseudomonadati; Gemmatimonadota.